GGGGUGUUAGCUCAGCUGGGAGAGCACCUGUUUUGCACGCAGGGGGUCAGGAGUUCGAUCCUCCUACGCUCCACCA
This 76-nucleotide transfer RNA is filed under the name Firmicutes bacterium M10-2. RNAcentral's name for it is "tRNA-Ala". It matches the Rfam family "tRNA". From Rfam's summary of the family: Transfer RNA (tRNA) molecules are approximately 80 nucleotides in length. Their secondary structure includes four short double-helical elements and three loops (D, anti-codon, and T loops). Lineage: Bacteria; Bacillati; Bacillota. RNAcentral also lists the same sequence under 10 other names. The record is from RNAcentral.